GAUGAACGCUGGCGGCGUGCCUAAAACAUGCAAGUCGAGCGAACAGACGAGGAGCUUGCUCCUCUGACGUUAGCGGCGGACGGGUGAGUAACACGUGGAUAACCUACCUAUAAGACUGGGAUAACUUCGGGAAACCGGAGCUAAUACCGGAUAAUAUAUUGAACCGCAUGGUUCAAUAGUGAAAGACGGUUUUGCUGUCACUUAUAGAUGGAUCCGCGCCGCAUUAGCUAGUUGGUAAGGUAACGGCUUACCAAGGCAACGAUGCGUAGCCGACCUGAGAGGGUGAUCGGCCACACUGGAACUGAGACACGGUCCAGACUCCUACGGGAGGCAGCAGUAGGGAAUCUUCCGCAAUGGGCGAAAGCCUGACGGAGCAACGCCGCGUGAGUGAUGAAGGUCUUCGGAUCGUAAAACUCUGUUAUUAGGGAAGAACAAAUGUGUAAGUAACUAUGCACGUCUUGACGGUACCUAAUCAGAAAGCCACGGCUAACUACGUG
Molecule: ribosomal RNA, 497 nt
Filed under: uncultured bacterium
Lineage: Bacteria
Description: partial 16S ribosomal RNA
Rfam family: Bacterial small subunit ribosomal RNA
Source: RNAcentral